GAUGAACGCUGGCGGCGUGCCUAAUACAUGCAAGUCGAGCGAACGGACGAGAAGCUUGCUUCUCUGAUGUUAGCGGCGGACGGGUGAGUAACACGUGGAUAACCUACCUAUAAGACUGGGAUAACUUCGGGAAACCGGAGCUAAUACCGGAUAAUAUUUUGAACCGCAUGGUUCAAAAGUGAAAGACGGUCUUGCUGUCACUUAUAGAUGGAUCCGCGCUGCAUUAGCUAGUUGGUAAGGUAACGGCUUACCAAGGCAACGAUGCAUAGCCGACCUGAGAGGGUGAUCGGCCACACUGGAACUGAGACACGGUCCAGACUCCUACGGGAGGCAGCAGUAGGGAAUCUUCCGCAAUGGGCGAAAGCCUGACGGAGCAACGCCGCGUGAGUGAUGAAGGUCUUCGGAUCGUAAAACUCUGUUAUUAGGGAAGAACAUAUGUGUAAGUAACUGUGCACAUCUUGACGGUACCUAAUCAGAAAGCCACGGCUAACUACGUGCCAGCAGCCGCGGUAAUACGUAGGUGGCAAGCGUUAUCCGGAAUUAUUGGGCGUAAAGCGCGCGUAGGCGGUUUUUUAAGUCUGAUGUGAAAGCCCACGGCUCAACCGUGGAGGGUCAUUGGAAACUGGAAAACUUGAGUGCAGAAGAGGAAAGUGGAAUUCCAUGUGUAGCGGUGAAAUGCGCAGAGAUAUGGAGGAACACCAGUGGCGAAGGCGACUUUCUGGUCUGUAACUGACGCUGAUGUGCGAAAGCGUGGGGAUCAAACAGGAUUAGAUACCCUGGUAGUCCACGCCGUAAACGAUGAGUGCUAAGUGUUAGGGGGUUUCCGCCCCUUAGUGCUGCAGCUAACGCAUUAAGCACUCCGCCUGGGGAGUACGACCGCAAGGUUGAAACUCAAAGGAAUUGACGGGGACCCGCACAAGCGGUGGAGCAUGUGGUUUAAUUCGAAGCAACGCGAAGAACCUUACCAAAUCUUGACAUCCUUUGACAACUCUAGAGAUAGAGCUUUCCCCUUCGGGGGACAAAGUGACAGGUGGUGCAUGGUUGUCGUCAGCUCGUGUCGUGAGAUGUUGGGUUAAGUCCCGCAACGAGCGCAACCCUUAAGCUUAGUUGCCAUCAUUAAGUUGGGCACUCUAAGUUGACUGCCGGUGACAAACCGGAGGAAGGUGGGGAUGACGUCAAAUCAUCAUGCCCCUUAUGAUUUGGGCUACACACGUGCUACAAUGGAUAAUACAAAGGGCAGCGAAACCGCGAGGUCAAGCAAAUCCCAUAAAGUUGUUCUCAGUUCGGAUUGUAGUCUGCAACUCGACUACAUGAAGCUGGAAUCGCUAGUAAUCGUAGAUCAGCAUGCUACGGUGAAUACGUUCCCGGGUCU
This 1372-nucleotide ribosomal RNA is filed under the name uncultured bacterium. RNAcentral's name for it is "bacterial SSU rRNA". It matches the Rfam family "Bacterial small subunit ribosomal RNA", at positions 28 to 1381 of the family's 1533-position model. The record is from RNAcentral.